UACGGAGGGUCCAAGCGUUAUCCGGAAUCAUUGGGUUUAAAGGGUUCGUAGGCGGGCUAAUCAGUCAGAGGUGAAAUCCCAUCGCUCAACGAUGGAACUGCCUUUGAUACUGUUAGUCUUGAGUUAUAUUGAAGUGGAUAGAAUAUGUAGUGUAGCGGUGAAAUGCAUAGAUAUUACAUAGAAUACCGAUUGCGAAGGCAGUCCACUAAGUAUUUACUGACGCUGAUGAACGAAAGCGUGGGGAGCGAACGGG
RNAcentral lists this ribosomal RNA (253 nucleotides) under uncultured bacterium. RNAcentral describes it as "partial 16S ribosomal RNA". It matches the Rfam family "Bacterial small subunit ribosomal RNA", at positions 524 to 776 of the family's 1533-position model. The record is from RNAcentral.